GGUAAAGUAAGCUAAAAUGUAAGCUAUCGGGUUCAUACCCCGAAAAUGGGUGGAAGGCCCCUUUAUCA
This 68-nucleotide transfer RNA is filed under the name Nerita tessellata. RNAcentral describes it as "tRNA-Met". Lineage: Eukaryota; Metazoa; Mollusca; Gastropoda; Cycloneritida; Neritidae. The record is from RNAcentral.